RNAcentral lists this ribosomal RNA (686 nucleotides) under Clostridioides difficile. Its description in RNAcentral is "bacterial LSU rRNA". It matches the Rfam family "Bacterial large subunit ribosomal RNA", at positions 771 to 1465 of the family's 2925-position model. Lineage: Bacteria; Bacillati; Bacillota; Clostridia; Peptostreptococcales; Peptostreptococcaceae. The record is from RNAcentral.
GGUCCGAACCCACGAGCGUUGAAAAGCUCGGGGAUGACUUGUGGGUAGCGGUGAAAUUCCAAUCGAGCCCGGAGAUAGCUGGUUCUCCCCGAAAUAGCUUUAGGGCUAGCCUCAAGGUGAGAGAUACGGAGGUAGAGCACUGAAUGUCCUAGGGGGUAUUGCACCUACCGAAGACUAUCAAACUCCGAAUGCCGUCAUCUUAUACUUGGGAGUCAGACUGUGGGUGAUAAGAUUCAUAGUCGAAAGGGCAACAGCCCAGAUCGUCAGCUAAGGUCCCUAAAUGUAAGUUAAGUGGUAAAGGAUGUGGGAUUGCACAGACAACCAGGAUGUUGGCUUAGAAGCAGCCACUCAUUCAAAGAGUGCGUAAUAGCUCACUGGUCGAGUGAUCCUGCGCCGAAGAUUUCCGGGGCUAAAACUUACUACCGAAGCUACGGCAUCAGUAAUGAUGGGUAGGGGAGCUUCCCAUACGGGUUGAAGCAUGACCGUAAGGACAUGUGGACAGUAAGGGAGUGAGAAUGUUGGCAUGAGUAGCGAGAUGUGGGUGAGAAUCCCACAGGCCGUAAACCCAAGGUUGCCAGGGGAAGGUUCGUCCGCCCUGGGUUAGUCGGGACCUAAGCUGAGGCCGAAAGGCGUAGGUGAUGGACAACAGGUUGAUAUUCCUGUACUACCGAUAACCGUUUGAGAGA